AGUUGUUGCUUCCUUCUCUGGGCAGCAGCUCUGUAAGAAGGAAUGUCAGCUUUUACAUAACGUUCCUUUCCGC
Molecule: small RNA, 73 nt
Filed under: Homo sapiens (human)
Lineage: Eukaryota; Metazoa; Chordata; Mammalia; Primates; Hominidae
Description: nc022 non-coding RNA
Source: RNAcentral